RNAcentral lists this long non-coding RNA (318 nucleotides) under Lathyrus oleraceus (garden pea). RNAcentral's name for it is "Pisum sativum (pea) long non-coding RNA (PSAT_LNC011697)". The record is from RNAcentral. Lineage: Eukaryota; Viridiplantae; Streptophyta; Magnoliopsida; Fabales; Fabaceae.
AAAAAUGAAAAAGAUAUUCCCCUUUUGAUUUGCCAGUCGUAGCCAGCUGUAAAGGGGGAUGCGUCUUCUUUUCACUUUUGGGGGGACUUUAUACUGACCGAUUCUCUCUCCCCCAAUGGUAAAAAGGAAAAGAAAAAGAGGACCAAUAGACUCUCUCAUGAGUACUCUCUCUCUGAAAAAAAUGUGGUAGGGGAGAAAAGAAAAUAGAAAAGGAAAAUAAAAGAAAGAGAAAAAGGAACGAAAGAGUUUUCCUCUAUUUCUCCACAAACCUCCUCCUUCACGAAAACCAGACCGAAACCCUUCAUAUUCCAAUCUUAC